Molecule: non-coding RNA, 390 nt
Organism: Cinara cedri
Lineage: Eukaryota; Metazoa; Arthropoda; Insecta; Hemiptera; Aphididae
Source: the annotation of a GenBank genome assembly
GUGGCAGAUUUAAGAUGGAGGAAAUGGUCCAGGGGGUCUGGACUUCCCCUAGAUACCGAUAUAAUUUCAAUAAAAUGUCAUGUAAAACGAAGUAUCUAUUAAUAUAGGGUAUCCAUCACGAAAGCAUAUUUUUUUUUUAAAUGUGUACCAUUUUUUUUGUUUUUGGGUCGGUACCACUGUACCCGAAAGUUUUCUUAUCUCAAAAACUUGAAGUUUUGUAUGGUAUCGUUCGUUUUUGUUUUUGAGUGUUUUGAAUAUGUCCGUAACCAUGGAAAGAUUGUCUAUGGAAACGCACGUUUUGGUUUCCGGACAGACUCAUCUCAUUGUGUGGGGGGGGACCAAAGCUGGCCACCAUGGUGUUUCAUUCGUUAACUUCGGAAUUUCCUGAUU